This 444-nucleotide ribosomal RNA is filed under the name uncultured bacterium. RNAcentral describes it as "SSU rRNA". It matches the Rfam family "Bacterial small subunit ribosomal RNA", at positions 26 to 518 of the family's 1533-position model. The record is from RNAcentral.
AGAACGAACGCUGGCGGCAGGCCUAAUACAUGCAAGUCGAGCGCCCAGCAAUGGGAGCGGCGGACGGGUGAGCAACACGUGGGAACAUGCCCUUCGGUACGGAACAACUCAGGGAAACUUGAGCUAAUACCGUAUACGCCCCGCAAGGGGGAAAGAUUUAUCGCCGAAGGAUUGGCCCGCGUCCGAUUAGCUAGUUGGUGAGGUAACGGCCCACCAAGGCACCGAUCGGUAGCUGGUUUGAGAGAACGACCAGCCACACUGGGACUGAGACACGGCCCAGACUCCUACGGGAGGCAGCAGUAGGGAAUCUUGGACAAUGGGGAAACCCUGAUCCAGCCAUGCCGCGUGAGUGAUGAAGGCCUUCGGUUGUAAAACUCGUUCGGCGGGGACGAUAAAUGACGGUACCGCAGAAGAAGCUCCGGCUAACUUCGUGCCAGCAGCCGC